Molecule: long non-coding RNA, 423 nt
Filed under: Olea europaea (common olive)
Lineage: Eukaryota; Viridiplantae; Streptophyta; Magnoliopsida; Lamiales; Oleaceae
Description: long non-coding RNA (OEUR_LNC010299)
Source: RNAcentral
CAGCAAUGAGAACCAAAAUCUGAAAAUACCAAGUCUCAAGGCACAACAUCACAGCAGAGGCAGAAGAUAGUUUGAAAAAAUCCCACAGCCCAGAAAACGCCAUCCAAUCGAAUCCAGUCCAUGUAAGUUUGCAUUUAUCACUAAAUAAAAUAUAUAUAAAUUGUCCUGCCACUAUGAUCCACCAAGAAAAACUCAACACCAAUCCUGCACCCAACAAUCCCCAACCCAACACGAACAAAGCCAGCCAUGUCAAGAAAACAUGCAGUACCAGUGCUGCUGCAGAUAUAUAAGCACUGGGAUUCACUAUACUUUGUGCCUGCAGGAACUUUUGUAUGGGAAAAUUUGCAGCGUACGCGAAAAUCUGAGGUAUAAGGCCAUAGAUGAACAAAGCUGCUGCAGAUGCAAGGCUUUUUGAUUCACCUA